This 373-nucleotide long non-coding RNA is filed under the name Prunus persica (peach). RNAcentral's name for it is "long non-coding RNA (PPER_LNC002856)". The record is from RNAcentral. Lineage: Eukaryota; Viridiplantae; Streptophyta; Magnoliopsida; Rosales; Rosaceae.
GUGAAGUAGAAAAUGACUUUUCAUGUAAUCACAAUAAACACCGAGCGAGGCAGAGAUGAAGGGCACAUGAGGUUAAGUUUCCAGACUCCAGAAAGUCCUAGAAAUGUGUUCCAUUCAUAUUAAUUCUUGAUCAUCAUGUGAAAGAGUGUGAGAGUGAGAGAGAGCACACCACUUUGUUCAUUAUUAUUAGCACCAUAUACAUAUAUAUAUAUAUAUUUAUAUUUAUAUAGUCAGUCAGUCUUUGAAAUUGAGAUAUCAGAUUUUGCAUGCAGGCGUGCUACGCGUGACAAGUCCUUCAUGCUUUUGUUUGCCUACAAAUGGUGCUCCGUUUGGACCGCUACCACCCAAUUUGCUCAUAAUGCUUCAACCCCAC